This 73-nucleotide transfer RNA is filed under the name Rhodospirillum rubrum. Its description in RNAcentral is "tRNA-Ala". It matches the Rfam family "tRNA". Rfam says of the family: Transfer RNA (tRNA) molecules are approximately 80 nucleotides in length. Their secondary structure includes four short double-helical elements and three loops (D, anti-codon, and T loops). Further hydrogen bonds mediate the characteristic L-shaped molecular structure. tRNAs have two regions of fundamental functional importance: the anti-codon, which is responsible for specific mRNA codon recognition, and the 3' end, to which the tRNAs corresponding amino acid is attached (by aminoacyl-tRNA synthetases). tRNAs cope with the degeneracy of the genetic code in two manners: having more than one tRNA (with a specific anti-codon) for a particular amino acid; and 'wobble' base-pairing, i.e. permitting non-standard base-pairing at the 3rd anti-codon position. The record is from RNAcentral. Lineage: Bacteria; Pseudomonadati; Pseudomonadota; Alphaproteobacteria; Rhodospirillales; Rhodospirillaceae.
GGGGCCGUAGCUCAGUUGGGAGAGCGCAGCAAUCGCACUGCUGAGGUCAGGGGUUCGAUUCCCCCUGUCUCUU